RNAcentral lists this ribosomal RNA (443 nucleotides) under uncultured bacterium. RNAcentral's name for it is "partial 16S ribosomal RNA". It matches the Rfam family "Bacterial small subunit ribosomal RNA", at positions 338 to 795 of the family's 1533-position model. The record is from RNAcentral.
CCUACGGGAGGCUGCAGUGGGGAAUAUUGGGCAAUGGGCGCAAGCCUGACCCAGCAACGCCGCGUGAAUGAAGAAGGCUUUCGGGUUGUAAACUUCUUUCCUCAGGGACGAAAAAAGUGACGGUACCUGACGAGGAAGCCACGGCUAACUACGUGCCAGCAGCCGCGGUAAUACGUAGGGGGCAAGCGUUAUCCGGAUUUACUGGGCGUAAAGGGAGCGUAGGCGGGACUGCAAGUCUGAUGUGAAAUACACGGGCUCAACUUGGGGGUUGCAUUUGAAACUGUAGAGCUUGAGUACAGGAGAGGCAGGCGGAAUUCCUAGUGUAGCGGUGAAAUGCGUAGAUAUUAGGAGGAACACCAGUGGCGAAGGCGGCUUGCUGGACAGAAACUGACGCUGAGGCGCGAAAGCGUGGGGAGCAAACAGGAUUAGAUACCCGGGUAGUC